RNAcentral lists this ribosomal RNA (480 nucleotides) under uncultured bacterium. RNAcentral describes it as "partial 16S ribosomal RNA". It matches the Rfam family "Bacterial small subunit ribosomal RNA", at positions 28 to 507 of the family's 1533-position model. The record is from RNAcentral.
GAUGAACGCUAGCGGCAGGCCUAACACAUGCAAGUCGAGGGGGAGGUUACUUUCGGGUAACUGAGACCGGCGUACGGGUGCGUAACGCGUAUACAAUCUGCCUUUCACUGGGGGAUAGCCCGAAGAAAUUUGGAUUAAUACCCCAUCGUAUAGUAAUACGGCAUCGUGAUGCUAUUAAAGCUUAGGUGGUGAAAGAUGAGUAUGCGUUCUAUUAGCUAGUUGGAGAGGUAACGGCUCCCCAAGGCGCUGAUAGAUAGGGGUUCUGAGAGGGAUGUCCCCCACACUUGUACUGAGAUACGGACCAGACUCCGACGGGAGGCAGCAGUGAGGAAUAUUGGACAAUGGUCGGAAGACUGAUCCAGCCAUGCCGCGUGCAGGAGGAAGGUCUUAUGGAUUGUAAACUGCUUUUGUAAGGGAAGAAUAAGGGCUACGCGUAGUUUGAUGACGGUACCUUACGAAUAAGCAUCGGCUAACUCCGUG